GACGAACGCUGGCGGCGUGCUUAACACAUGCAAGUCGAACGGAAAGGCCCUGCUUUUGUGGGGUGCUCGAGUGGCGAACGGGUGAGUAACACGUGAGUAACCUGCCCUUGACUUUGGGAUAACUUCAGGAAACUGGGGCUAAUACCGGAUAGGAGCUCCUGCUGCAUGGUGGGGGUUGGAAAGUUUCGGCGGUUGGGGAUGGACUCGCGGCUUAUCAGCUUGUUGGUGGGGUAGUGGCUUACCAAGGCUUUGACGGGUAGCCGGCCUGAGAGGGUGACCGGCCACAGUGGGACUGGGAUACGGCCCAGACUCCUACGGGAGGCAGCAGUGGAGAAUAGUGCACACAGGGCGGAAGCCUGAUGCAGCAACGCCGCGUGCGGGAUGUCUGCCUUCGGGGUGUAAACCGCUUUCGCGUGUGACGAAGCGUGAGUGACGGUAAUGAGUAGAGAAGCACCGGCUAACUACGU
Molecule: ribosomal RNA, 467 nt
Filed under: uncultured bacterium
Lineage: Bacteria
Description: partial 16S ribosomal RNA
Rfam family: Bacterial small subunit ribosomal RNA
Source: RNAcentral